RNAcentral lists this long non-coding RNA (957 nucleotides) under Fukomys damarensis (Damara mole-rat). RNAcentral's name for it is "lncRNA (ENSFDAG00000025595.1)". Lineage: Eukaryota; Metazoa; Chordata; Mammalia; Rodentia; Bathyergidae. The record is from RNAcentral.
UAUUUACAGAAAUCAAUCUUUUGUGUCCCGUCUGUAGCUCACCAAAUUGCCGUGACCAUGAGGUGCGACAUUUUGGGAAGGUAAUAGCCCUGAGCAUGAUGUACAACUCCUGAAGAACUGAAUGCUACGGCCACUGCCAUGCCCAGAUGCCCUCUCUCCUCGGGGGGCCACUUGUCUUUUGUCAAACAUCACUGGACGUCUGUUGGAACAGGCUCAGAUCUUAGAAUUUUCAUAGAGGAGGAGCUCGGCACCUCGCUGUCAUUGGGAAUGGCAGCUCCUUUCAUCAGGGGAGCUCUGAUCUUUACCAUGAGCAUCACUUCCUGGCUCCAGUGUGGAUCCCUCAUCUUGGUGGGCACAGAUCCUUCAUCUCACGAGCAUAGAUUUUCUGGCUUCCACCACUGGCCUUGGGCCUUCCAGGUGCAGACCCUCAAUACGGACAGGCAUGAGACAUUACUUUGGGCUCUAGGCCACUGGCUGGACUUGAGGACAUUGCUUGGACUCUCAGCCUUUAGAUGGACUUCUACGGAAACUGCUGGGAUCCAGGCCCUCAGUUGAAUGUUUUGGGCUUCUAGUGUGUGGUUAAUCCUGUGGACUCCUUGCAUUUGACUCUUUGGGUAAGUAUCAUAAAAUAACUUUGUAAGUUAUGUGUCCUGUAGUUAAUGCAUUUCCUCACCCAAUCCUGCUGACUACACUAUCUUUAUGCCACUUUGUUUCUGUGACUUGUACAGAUUUCUCUUUCCCAAACAAUUCAGUCACAUAGAGGAUGUGAAAUGUACAGAAUCAUAGAAAAAUGGAAAAUCAAGCAAAAAGAUUUGUGUCUUUACUUUGGAGAAGGAUUUGUGUGAUGUCUGCACAAGAGAGGAAGGAAGGACAGCAGAGGAGAGGGUGACGAGUUUUGGACAGGGCUUUGGAAUAGGAGUCAGGACUUGCGUUGUGGACCUGCUGUGUACUGUUGGG